UUUUGAUAUUUUGUUGUCAAUUUUUAUUAAAAUUAUAAUGUCAAUAUUGUUCAAUUUAUUCACUUGUUCAGAUGGUAAUUGGUAACUCUUUUAAUCCACAUUUGUUAUCUGUGAUUUUUCACGUGUUAUUAGUUUUUUGAAUCAUUAGAUCAAAACUGGUGUUUAUCAACUUUAUUGAAUGUGCCUUCUCUUCUGUCUUGGCUGACAACCAACAUAACAUUUAUUGCUUAAGAAAUAUCUUCUCCACUGACAUGGAAUAUGAAUUACACUGUGGUAAUCCAUUCGAAGGUGUUCAUCAAAACCAACCUAGAAGUAUUUUAUGUUGUCUUGAACAAUAAAUAAGCUGACUAGAAGCAUGUCUCCAGUCAGUAAUAAACUAAACCAUGGAUCAUCUGGUUGUUUAGUUUCACGCGAAAUUCGAGAAUUGGACCAUAUAGUAAGUCGAUUGGAACAAGGCUCAGUAUUAACUAAAUUUUACCCUAAAGGUAAACCAGAGAAGCGGUUCUUUUGCUUACGCAAAAACACUCGUGAAUUGGUUUGGUUCAAACCUGUUGGAGGUCGUAAUGUACUUGAAAAUUACAUUGAUUUGAGGCAUGUUAAAGAGGUACGGAUUGGUCCAGCUUCCAAGAUAUUUGAACGUUGGCAAGAUGACGCUCGAAAAUGGGAAAAAGGUCAAUGUUUGGUUGUUCUUUAUGGCCAACGAUUUAGGUUAAAAAAUCUUUCCUGUGUUGCCAUGUCCAUUAAUGAAUGUGAACAAUGGGUUAGAGGAAUUCGUUAUUUAUCAGAAGAGAUUCAAAAUUGUUCCUAUUUAAUUCAAAUUGAAACCUGGUUGACUCGUGAAUUUACAGCCUUGGACGGUGGCCGAGCAAGUUUAACAUUCAAAGACCUUAAACCAUUCCUGUCCAAGAUUAGCUGUAAAGCGACAACAGAUGAACUAAAGCGUUAUUUUUUACAAGUUGAUUUACAAGCAUCAAGUGAAAUUUCAUUUGAUGCAUUUUGUAAAUUGUACAGAGCCAUGGUUGAUCAAAGACGAAUAUUUGACCAAUAUUUUUCCAGUUAUACUCAGAAUGGUCGAACCGUUAGUUUAAAGGAUUUUAUUUCGUUUUUAAAUUUCCAAUCAAUGGAAGGUGAUAAAAUUGAUGAAAAGACUGGUUCAUUUUUAAUGAGAGAAUUUAUUUCCACUGCAAAUCGAUAUCAGUUAAGUGAUUCUGUUCAUCAAUUUCCACCUCAUCGUCAUCAUCACCAACCUCGACCACUUUUAAAUAACUCAGAGGAACCGUAUUUCACUAUUGACGAGUUUAUGAAUUAUGUUUACUCUAAAAACAAUCAAAUUUGGGAUAAAAAAUUUGAGUCAGUACAUCAUGAUAUGAACCGACCGUUAACUCAUUAUUGGAUCGCCUCUUCCCAUAACACUUACCUUACUGGUGAUCAAAUUAGAAGUGAAUCAUCUAUUGAUGCUUAUGCCCGUUGCCUGCGAAUGGGAUGUCGAAGUAUUGAACUUGAUUGCUGGGAUGGACCAGACGGUUUACCUUUAAUUUAUCAUGGCCACACUAUAACUACUCGAAUCAAAUUUAUUGAUGCUGUUAAAACAAUCAAGGAACAUGCUUUUGUUAAAUCUGAUUAUCCGGUUGUCCUUUCCAUUGAAAAUCAUUGCUCACUUCCUCAGCAAAGGAAGAUGGCUCAUGCAUUUAUUGAAAUUUUAGGAGAUUAUCUACUUACUCAGCCAAUUGACAAAGAUGAAACUGAAAUGCCAUCUCCGAAUCAGUUGAAACGCAAAUUUAUCAUCAAGCACAAAAAAUUAUCAGACAAUGGAGAACCCAGUUUGUCUCUAAAAAACUCAGAUGAUAACAAUCAGGAAGUUGAUGUUAAUACUUCCAUCAAAAGUGGGAUUUUGUAUCUUAUGGAUGAUUCGUCGGACCGGGAAUGGAAGCCUUACUUGUUUAUGUUGACAAAUACCAAGAUGUAUUAUGCUGAAUACAAUCCUGAUGAUGAAGAUGAAAGUGACGAUAGACCGGCUCAUAAGAUUGACUCUUCUGGGCCAGCAUCUAAUGAUGAGCUUCAUUUUGGUGAAAAAUGGUAUCACGGAAGAUUACCCGGUGGUCGUCAACAAGCUCGUGAAUUACUUGAAAAAUACUCACACUUUGGUGAUGGGACCUUUUUAGUGCGUGACAGUGAUUCAUACGCUGGUGAUUAUUCAUUAUCUUUCUGUUGGGAAGGAAAAGUUAACCAUUGUCACAUCAAAACUAGACAAGAAAAGGGCCAAACUAAAUAUUAUCUGAUUGAUUCGGUUCCAUUUGAUUCGUUAUACAGUUUAAUCACUCAUUAUCAAUCUCAACCUUUAAGAUGCAAAAUGGGAGCCAUUUUCCUUACCGAGCCAGUACCUCAAUUGAAAAGUCACGAAAGUAAAGAAUGGUAUCACUCAUCAAUAACUCGACCUGGGGCUGAAGAUUUAUUGAAACAAAUCCAGGUUGAUGGUUCAUUUCUGGUUCGACCCAGUGAAAAGGAGGAAAAUUGUUUUGCUAUUUCUUUCAGGGCCGAGGAUAAAAUUAAACACUGUCGUAUAAUUCAGGAAGGACGACUGUUUGUCAUUGGAAGUGCAAAAUUUGAGACUUUAGAAGAGCUAAUUAAAUGGUAUCAAAAGUAUCCCUUGUAUAAAAAUGUUAAGCUCAAAUAUCCAAUCAGUGGCGAUUUCAAAAAUGGUGUGAAGGGCAUUGAAAGUAGUGUUCGUGGUGGACAGGAUGAAAAUUAUUUGGAUCCUAAUAAUUGUCAAUCUGGAUUAACUGUGAAAGCUUUGUUUGAUUAUCAUGGACAAAAAGAAGAUGAACUUUCAUUUUGUAAACAUGCUAUUAUUACUAAUGUUGUUAAGGCAGAUCCUUGUUGGUGGAAGGGAGACUAUGGUGGCCUCAGAAAUCAUUGGUUCCCGGCUAAUUUUGUUGAAGAGAUUGAACCAAAUGAUAAUUUGAAUGACAAGUUUGAUGAUCAAAUGCCCAUCGGAUGUCUUCAAAAAGGAAGUAUUGACAUUGUUGAAUGUGCUGUUGCUGCAUCAAACGUUCCAAUCAAUGGAAAAGAAUGGGUUUUCAAAAUUGUUUCACCCUCGCAAGUUGAGCCUAUUGAGAUAUCUGCAUCUAGUAAAGAUGAAAUGAUUGAUUGGAUCCAGUGUAUUCGAGAAACUGCUCAAUCUACUCAUCAAAAAAUUUGUCAAAGCAAAGAGAUUGAACGUAAAGAACGGGUCGCACAGGAAUUGUCAAAUCUUAUAAUUUAUUGUCGCUCUGUCCCGUUUGUACCUGAAAAGAUCGGCAUCUUUACAGAAAUGUCGUCUUAUCCUGAGACAAAAGUGGAAAAAUGGUUGAGUCCACAAAAUUGUCCUGCUUUCAAUGAGUAUCACUUCAAACAAUUCAGUCGAGUUUAUCCUGGAAUGAGAAGAUUAGAUUCAUCCAAUUACGAUCCUGUUCGUAUCUGGAACGCAGGAGUUCAAAUGGUGGCUCUAAAUUAUCAAACACCUGAUCGACCAAUGCAGUUAAAUCAAGGCAAAUUUCUUGAAAACGGUGCAUGUGGUUAUUUAUUGCGACCCAAUUUCAUGUUUGAACCAGGGUUUGAUGUCUAUAAACCCCCCAAAAUCAAUCCUGUAACUAUGACUAUUCGAGUUAUUGGAGCUCGCCACCUUACCAAAAAUAGUCGAGGUAACAUUAGCCCAUUCAUUGAAGUUGAAAUUGUCGGAGCUGAUUAUGAUUGUCGGAAGGUUAAGACAGGAACAUGCCAUGACAACGGAUUUAAUCCAUGCUGGGAGGAAACUUUCAUUUUUGACAUUGAAUGUCCUGAUUUGGCUUUAUUGAGAUUCGUUGCUUACGACGAGGAUAGCUUUGGUGAUCCUAAUUUUGUUGGUCAAGCUACUUACCCAUUUAAUUGCUUGCGUCAAGGGUAUAGAAGUGUUCCCCUCAAAAAUGAAUACAGUGAAGAACUGGACUUAUCAUCUCUAUUAGUUCAUGUCAAGAUCAACAAAAAUGAAUUUGCUCUCUAAACUAAUAUUUAAUUUCCACCAAUCCACCAUUCCUGAUAAUAACUAAUCAAGCAUAAUCAACUCGUGUCAAUUAUUUAAGAUAAAUGGUUAAAUUGUUGCCAUCAACAUUAAUUAUUCUUUAAGUGUCAAAAUUAUUUUCCAAAGUCUAAUGUUGUCCCAAUACAGAAUCGAUAGGAAUGGCAAUGGUGAAGAAGCUGAUGAUAAAAACCAGGAGAACUGAGGAGAAACCAGAACGAGGAUGAUGACUGCGCAGCAUUUUUCUUUUCGCUCUUCAUUCUCAUCAAUCGAUCGAUCCUUCUACUACAAUACGAGAGAUGAAUCCAACUUAAGAUAUGAGCACAGAAAACGAGAGAAGCAAAGGCAAAAGAAGAAAAAAGAAGAUCAUUAUGUUCAUCAUCAUCAGCAUCAUCUUUUUGAGUUUCACUGAACACUUUCAAGAGAAGCAAGAGAGCUGGAAGAAAGAAAAAGCAGUGGAAAAAAGAGGAACAAGAUGUGGAUGAUGAGAAUGAUGAGAAUGAUGAUGGUGAGAGAAAGAGUGAAGCAAGUUUCCUCAAUAGUUUCCUUUUGGGUUUCCUUGUCUUCCGUUAAUUCUUCAUGUCAACUCACAGUGUCCAAUCUUUAUCAUGAUUCCUGCUGAAAUAAUAUUUGAUACACUAAUCGAGUAUCAUCAUAUUUCUCAUUUUCAACCUAAUCAUAAGCAUACCGAUUUUAUUGUUAACAAAACUUGAAGUCAAUAUAAAUUUGGUGCAACAUCAACAUCAGUAAAUUUUUAGUGGAAA
Tetranychus urticae (two-spotted spider mite) is the source of this 4797-nucleotide non-coding RNA. Lineage: Eukaryota; Metazoa; Arthropoda; Arachnida; Trombidiformes; Tetranychidae. The record is from RefSeq and is a predicted model, not a curated record.